UCAGGCCUAACACAUGCAAGUCGAGCGGCAGCGGGAAAGUAGCUUGCUACUUUUGCCGGCGAGCGGCGGACGGGUGAGUAAUGCCUGGGAAAUUGCCCAGUCGAGGGGGAUAACAGUUGGAAACGACUGCUAAUACCGCAUACGCCCUACGGGGGAUAGCAGGGGACCUUCGGGCCUUGCGCGAUUGGAUAUGCCCAGGUGGGAUUAGCUAGUUGGUGAGGUAAUGGCUCACCAAGGCGACGAUCCCUAGCUGGUCUGAGAGGAUGAUCAGCCACACUGGAACUGAGACACGGUCCAGACUCCUACGGGAGGCAGCAGUGGGGAAUAUUGCACAAUGGGGGAAACCCUGAUGCAGCCAUGCCGCGUGUGUGAAGAAGGCCUUCGGGUUGUAAAGCACUUCAGCGAGGAGGAAAGGUUGAUGCCUAAUACGUAUC
This 434-nucleotide ribosomal RNA is filed under the name uncultured bacterium. Its description in RNAcentral is "bacterial SSU rRNA". It matches the Rfam family "Bacterial small subunit ribosomal RNA", at positions 42 to 470 of the family's 1533-position model. The record is from RNAcentral.